CAAGUACUCCCUCCGUCUGGAAUUACUUGUCAUCAAAAUGGAUGUGUCUAGAACUAAAAUACAUCUAGAUACAUCCAUUUCAAUGACAAGUCUUUUCGGACGGAGGGAGUACAAG
Molecule: non-coding RNA, 115 nt
Organism: Triticum aestivum (bread wheat)
Lineage: Eukaryota; Viridiplantae; Streptophyta; Magnoliopsida; Poales; Poaceae
Source: Rfam